Molecule: unclassified non-coding RNA, 327 nt
Filed under: uncultured fungus
Lineage: Eukaryota; Fungi
Description: partial contains 5.8S ribosomal RNA and internal transcribed spacer 2
Rfam family: 5.8S ribosomal RNA (bases 1-133)
Source: RNAcentral
UGGUUCUGGCAUCGAUGAAGAACGCAGCGAAAUGCGAUACGUAAUGUGAAUUGCAGAAUUCCGUGAAUCAUCGAAUCUUUGAACGCACAUUGCGCCCGCCAGCAUUCUGGCGGGCAUGCCUGUUCGAGCGUCAUUUCAACCCUCGACGUCCCCCGGGACGUCGGCCUUGGGGACCGGCAGCACCCCGCCGGCCCUGAAAUGGAGUGGCGGCCCGUCCGCGGCGACCUCUGCGCAGUACAAGCACUCGCACCGGGAACCCGACGCGGCCCGCCGUGAAACCCCCAACCUCUGAACGUUGACCUCGGAUCAGGUAGGACUACCCGCUGA